UGGGGGAACCCUGAUUCAGCCAUGCCGCGUGUGUGAAGAAGGCCUUAUGGUUGUAAAGCACUUUAAGCGAGGAGGAGGCUACUUUAGUUAAUACCUAGAGAUAGUGGACGUUACUCGCAGAAUAAGCACCGGCUAACUCUGUGCCAGCAGCCGCGGUAAU
RNAcentral lists this ribosomal RNA (160 nucleotides) under uncultured Acinetobacter sp. RNAcentral's name for it is "partial 16S ribosomal RNA". It matches the Rfam family "Bacterial small subunit ribosomal RNA", at positions 372 to 524 of the family's 1533-position model. The record is from RNAcentral. Lineage: Bacteria; Pseudomonadati; Pseudomonadota; Gammaproteobacteria; Moraxellales; Moraxellaceae.